This 561-nucleotide ribosomal RNA is filed under the name Salmonella enterica subsp. enterica serovar Infantis. Its description in RNAcentral is "partial 23S ribosomal RNA". It matches the Rfam family "Bacterial large subunit ribosomal RNA", at positions 580 to 1141 of the family's 2925-position model. Lineage: Bacteria; Pseudomonadati; Pseudomonadota; Gammaproteobacteria; Enterobacterales; Enterobacteriaceae. The record is from RNAcentral.
CAGGUUUACCUGUGUGACUGCGUACCUUUUGUAUAAUGGGUCAGCGACUUAUAUUCUGUAGCAAGGUUAACCGAAUAGGGGAGCCGGAGGGAAACCGAGUCUUAAUUGGGCGUUAAGUUGCAGGGUAUAGACCCGAAACCCGGUGAUCUAGCCAUGGGCAGGUUGAAGGUUGGGUAACACUAACUGGAGGACCGAACCGACUAAUGUUGAAAAAUUAGCGGAUGACCUGUGGCUGGGGGUGAAAGGCCAAUCAAACCGGGAGAUAGCUGGUUCUCCCCGAAAGCUAUUUAGGUAGCGCCUCGUGAAUUCAUCUCCGGGGGUAGAGCACUGUUUCGGCUAGGGGGCCAUCCCGGCUUACCAACCCGAUGCAAACUGCGAAUACCGGAGAAUGUUAUCACGGGAGACACACGGCGGGUGCUAACGUCCGUCGUGAAGAGGGAAACAACCCAGACCGCCAGCUAAGGUCCCAAAGUCAUGGUUAAGUGGGAAACGAUGUGGGAAGGCCCAGACAGCCAGGAUGUUGGCUUAGAAGCAGCCAUCAUUUAAAGAAAGCGUAAUAGC